UGAGGAAUAUUGGACAAUGGGCGCAAGCCUGAUCCAGCCAUGCCGCGUGCAGGAUGACGGUCCUAUGGAUUGUAAACUGCUUUUGUACAGGAAGAAACAGUUCUACGUGUAGAACCUUGACGGUACUGUAAGAAUAAGGAUCGGCUAACUCCGUGCCAGCAGCCGCGGUAAUACGGAGGAUCCAAGCGUUAUCCGGAAUCAUUGGGUUUAAAGGGUCCGUAGGCGGUUAGAUAAGUCAGUGGUGAAAGCCCAUCGCUCAACGGUGGAACGGCCAUUGAUACUGUCUGACUUGAAUUAUUAGGAAGUAACUAGAAUAUGUAGUGUAGCGGUGAAAUGCUUAGAGAUUACAUGGAAUACCAAUUGCGAAGGCAGGUUACUACUAAUGGAUUGACGCUGAUGGACGAAAGCGUGGGUAGCGAACAGGAUUAGAUACCCGUAGUAGUCCCUGAGCGGGCUGGCAAGGCGCAU
RNAcentral lists this ribosomal RNA (468 nucleotides) under uncultured bacterium. RNAcentral's name for it is "bacterial SSU rRNA". It matches the Rfam family "Bacterial small subunit ribosomal RNA", at positions 355 to 825 of the family's 1533-position model. The record is from RNAcentral.